ACAAUGAAGCUGAACCAGGUGCACAGACAAGACCCAUUGAACUUUCAGGCACUCGUGAGCAGAUAAGCAAAGCUGAGCAGCUGAUCAAAAAAGUUCUAGUAGAGGUAUUACUUGUUACAACCACAACUUUUGUUCUGCAUUUCUUUUUGCAUAUAUGCUGUUGAUCUUGCAAUCUUCUGUGGGCUGAUGCUGGGUCAUCUGGUACUGGAUCUAGUGGCCAGAAAUAUAAUGCACAACAGCCAGGUGCCGACACGUUCUAGAUGAAAAUUGCUAAUAACAAGGUGGGUCUGGUUAUUGGUAAGGUUGGUGAGACUAUAAAGUCCAUGCAACCCAAAUCUGGAGCUCGUAUUCAGAUUUGUAAUCUUGUUUUACAGCAUAUUGGCAGCUGGUGAUUGAGGUUACCAAUGUCUGAAGCAUAUUGGCCGUGGGUACAGCCUCGGCAUGGCUAUGGCAUGGAAGGAGAUUUUCAUAUGCCUUUCCUGUUUCUGAACAUAACUUCAUAAUAGGUUUUGGGCAAGGUUUAAGACUUAAAUAUACCAUAACAUGAAUAAACAUAUUUCCAAACUGCUUCAUUAUCUUAGCAACUUUGUUCAGCCCAUUGUAUGGCUUUUCACAGAACAGUAGUUCAAGCUUUGAGAAGUCAUUCUUUGUAAUUCAUAUCGUUCAUUUCACA
Panicum virgatum (switchgrass) is the source of this 673-nucleotide long non-coding RNA. RefSeq lists it as uncharacterized. The record is from RefSeq and is a predicted model, not a curated record. Lineage: Eukaryota; Viridiplantae; Streptophyta; Magnoliopsida; Poales; Poaceae. The transcript has 2 exons.